ACAAUGAAACUGUCCUGAAAUGCUCCCUGCUCCCAGCAAGCAGUGUGACAACUUAUGUCUUAGCAGUGUUAAAUUUUCUGCUUCUAAGGCUGUUUUUCACUCCUUACUUCCUUAUUUUUGGGAGAACUGCAAGUAGGAAACCAUUUCCCUCAAGAAGAGAAUCAGUGUUUGUGAUGUUUUCUCCUUUUUUGUUUCUCCGUGUUUUUCAUGAUGAAAUCAAUGCCAUCAUCUGAUGCCAAUCACAUUAGUGCUAAAGAUUCUGCUGUGCAUUCCACGUGCCCUGUACAUCACACACAAGGGGAGCGUGUGGCUCUACUUAUUAACCUCAUUAAUGGAGAAGAGUGGAAAGCUAGCCUUGCAGGUGACACAAGUGCAGAUGGCCAGCCCCUACUGAAUUUGCUGCCAGGCUGUUCACAAGCACCUCAUUCUUGCACUUCAUGCCUGCAACUUGCUGGCAGGAGUUGGGAGAUACCUUUGAGACUUCCAAGAAAUCAAAAAUCAUCUUGAAAUCUACUUGCUCACUGAAAGGUGGUGAUGCAUGUGCUGUAAUUCCUCUAGCUCAAAUGAAGCUCAGAAGGCUGGGAUCCUCAUGUGGUGAGAUAGAAGAGAGAGAGAUGCACAAACACAGUCCUCCCUCGAUGCUGUCUUGCCAUGAGCUGAGAUUUAAGCCAGGGUUUAGAGGUUAAUAGAAAGUAUGAUGGGGUACACUUUUGCCUU
Long non-coding RNA from Gallus gallus (chicken), 717 nucleotides. Lineage: Eukaryota; Metazoa; Chordata; Aves; Galliformes; Phasianidae. The record is from Ensembl.